CCUACGGGAGGCUGCAGUGAGGAAUAUUGGUCAAUGGACGAGAGUCUGAACCAGCCAAGUAGCGUGAAGGAUGACUGCCCUAUGGGUUGUAAACUUCUUUUAUAAAGGAAUAAAACGAGGCACGUGUGCCUUUUUGCAUGUACUUUAUGAAUAAGGAUCGGGUAACUCCGGGCCAGCAGCCGCGGUAAUACGGGGGGACCGGUCGUUAUCCGGAUUUAUUGGGGUUAAAGGGAGCGUAGAUGGGUUGUUAAGUCAGUUGUUAAAGUUUGCGGCUCAACCGUAAAAUUGCAAUUGAUACUGGCAGUCUUGAGUACAGUUGAGGUAGGCGGAAUUCGUGGUGUAGCGGUGAAAUGCUUAGAUAUCACGAAGAACCCCGAUUGCGAAGGCAGCUUACUAAACUGUGACUGACAUUGAUGCUCGAAAGUGUGGGUAUCAAACAGGAUUAGAUACCCCUGUAGUC
This 460-nucleotide ribosomal RNA is filed under the name uncultured bacterium. Its description in RNAcentral is "partial 16S ribosomal RNA". It matches the Rfam family "Bacterial small subunit ribosomal RNA", at positions 338 to 795 of the family's 1533-position model. The record is from RNAcentral.